GAUGAUUUGUAUGGGUUUGAUCAGUUAAACUUGCAUUCAUUGGCAUGGCAUGAUACCAGCUCAACUACCAGAUUUUUCUGAUGUGAUAUCGCUAAAAAAAAAUUGUCAAAUUUUCUAAUACACGGUUGUCCGUCCAUCUGAAGACCCGAAAGUGAAGAAGUACCAUGAUGCCAAAUACCAUAUUUUCAGUGAACUUUAUGAGCAGCAGCUUUCUCAUCGUUCAAUUAUGUCUCAAGCUUUGGCAUAGUUUAUGCCUGGAUUGGUUUCAAACU
Molecule: non-coding RNA, 272 nt
Organism: Camellia sinensis
Lineage: Eukaryota; Viridiplantae; Streptophyta; Magnoliopsida; Ericales; Theaceae
Source: RefSeq, a predicted model, not a curated record